UUGUCUCAAAGAUUAAGCCAUGCAUGUCUAAGUAUAAGCAAUCUAUACUGUGAAACUGCGAAUGGCUCAUUAAAUCAGUUAUCGUUUAUUUGAUAGUACCUUACUACUUGGAUAACCGUGGUAAUUCUAGAGCUAAUACAUGCUAAAAACCUCGACUUCGGAAGGGGUGUAUUUAUUAGAUAAAAAACCAAUGCCCUUCGGGGCUCCUUGGUGAUUCAUAAUAACUUAACGAAUCGCAUGGCCUUGCGCCGGCGAUGGUUCAUUCAAAUUUCUGCCCUAUCAACUUUCGAUGGUAGGAUAGUGGCCUACCAUGGUUUCAACGGGUAACGGGGAAUUAGGGUUCUAUUCCGGAGAGGGAGCCUGAGAAACGGCUACCACAUCCAAGGAAGGCAGCAGGCGCGCAAAUUACCCAAUCCCGACACGGGGAGGUAGUGACAAUAAAUACUGAUACAGGGCUCUUUUGGGUCUUGUAAUUGGAAUGAGUACAAUUUAAAUCCCUUAACGAGGAACAAUUGGAGGGCAAGUCUGGUGCCAGCAGCCGCGGUAAUUCCAGCUCCAAUAGCGUAUAUUAAAGUUGUUGCAGUUAAAAAGCUCGUAGUUGAACCUUGGGCCUGGCUGGCCGGUCCGCCUCACCGCGUGCACUGGUCCGGCCGGGCCUUUCCUUCUGGGGAGCCGCAUGCCCUUCACUGGGUGUGUCGGGGAACCAGGACUUUUACUUU
Molecule: ribosomal RNA, 719 nt
Filed under: Leotiomycetes sp.
Lineage: Eukaryota; Fungi; Ascomycota; Leotiomycetes
Description: SSU rRNA
Rfam family: Eukaryotic small subunit ribosomal RNA
Source: RNAcentral